UCAACAAUGAAAACUCAGACAGCUUCUGCUCCGCAUCAUUCAUCAACUCGAUGACCUCUUCCCUUGCUUUCUGGUACUCCUGCCAUUGAACCGUACAUCUUGAAAGAAUCCAAGAGAAAUAAGUCCCAGCUCUAGAAACACCAUGAGAAGUUAACGCAUAAGUUGGGAGAAUUGUUUCCAUGCAAAAUACAAAGCUUAGCAGCUGGAUAAUAUGUGAAGUCGUUAUGCCUCCGUGGGUUAAAAGAAUGAUAACAUUCAACAUCCAAACUAGCCUUUGCCAGCUUCUGGAGAUGAAUGGCUUUCCCUUGAGUCUUGAGAGAGAGACUAAAAUAAAAGAAGUAGAAAUCCACAAGGCUUACUGCUUCAAACCCAGAAGGAAUGGAAAUACUCUAACCAGGCACCAGUAAAUGGCUAAGAGGCGUCACCCUGAAAGCAAAGACCUCUGUACAGUUGUCAGGGUUGGCUGCAAACAAGGAGCAGUCAGGAAAGGAGAGGAAGGGUGAGUAUGUGGGUUACAAAUGCUCCCCAUAACAUCUGGAUGGGGGCAACCAAGACACAGAGGCAAAGCAGAGACAACCUACCAGAUUUAAGAUUGUGUUCAAGAAUCGUCAACUUGAAACAAAUAAUCAAUGAGAUAGAUCAGCGGUUCUCAAUCUGUGGGUGGCGACCCCAUUGGGGGUUACAUAUCAGAUACCCUGCA
This is a long non-coding RNA of Peromyscus maniculatus bairdii (prairie deer mouse), 700 nucleotides long. RefSeq lists it as uncharacterized. NCBI's taxonomy places the organism in Eukaryota, Metazoa, Chordata, Mammalia, Rodentia, Cricetidae. The record is from RefSeq and is a predicted model, not a curated record.